Molecule: non-coding RNA, 288 nt
Organism: Pseudoalteromonas porphyrae
Lineage: Bacteria; Pseudomonadati; Pseudomonadota; Gammaproteobacteria; Alteromonadales; Pseudoalteromonadaceae
Source: Rfam
CAAGUCCCUGUCGGGCAAGGUCUAACUAACCACCCGUAUUGAGUGUUGCGCCUUUGGCGGAGUGUGGGAUUAGCAAUUGCUUAUCAGUUAUGAAGAUAGCAUCACACGAACAAGAUUGGCGAAGCGUACACAGAGAAUUAUGUAGGCCAUAGGGAUUAUCGUGAUCCUGAAGUGCUGAUAUCGCUCCGAUAAAUACAGUCUGACUGACGAGGUUUGUAACGCCACUGAAGUCCAUGCAAAGCAACCGUAAUGAGUGAGGUUGUGGCGAGUCAGCGGAGUUAUUAAGCC